Molecule: ribosomal RNA, 487 nt
Filed under: uncultured bacterium
Lineage: Bacteria
Description: bacterial SSU rRNA
Rfam family: Bacterial small subunit ribosomal RNA
Source: RNAcentral
AUUGAACGCUGGCGGCGUGCCUAACACAUGCAAGUCGAGCGGUAACAGGUGUAGCAAUACAUGCUGACGAGCGGCGAACGGGUGAGUAAUGCUUCGGAAUCUACCUUAUGGUGGGGAAUAACUAGCCGAAAGGUUAGCUAAUACCGCAUACGUCCUACGGGAGAAAGCAGGGGAUCGCAAGACCUUGCGCCGAUAGAUGAGCCGAAGUCGGAUUAGCUAGUUGGUGAGGUAACGGCUCACCAAGGCGACGAUCCGUAGCUGGUCUGAGAGGACGACCAGCCACACUGGGACUGAGACACGGCCCAGACUCCUACGGGAGGCAGCAGUGGGGAAUAUUGGACAAUGGGGGCAACCCUGAUCCAGCGACGCCGCGUGUGUGAAGAAGGCCUGCGGGUUGUAAAGCACUUUUAGUGGGGAUGAAAUGUGCAGGGUUAAUACCUCUGCAUUUUGACCUAACCCACAGAAAAAGCACCGGCUAACUCUGUGC